Long non-coding RNA from Maniola jurtina (meadow brown), 154 nucleotides. RefSeq lists it as uncharacterized. Lineage: Eukaryota; Metazoa; Arthropoda; Insecta; Lepidoptera; Nymphalidae. The transcript has 3 exons. The record is from RefSeq and is a predicted model, not a curated record.
UAAUGUUAUAAGGUAUAAGCAAUGAUGUUAUAAUAAAAAGAAGUAGAUAAGUUAUACGCGGACUGCAAGUGGCACAUCAAAACUAGGCUACUUAGCAAACCUGAGCUCAGUCACCGCCCUGUCGUCGCGCAGUCACAACGUCUUUGAAAGUGAU